UACGAAGGGGGCUAGCGUUGCUCGGAAUCACUGGGCGUAAAGCGCACGUAGGCGGAUCUUUAAGUCAGGGGUGAAAUCCUGGAGCUCAACUCCAGAACUGCCUUUGAUACUGGGGAUCUCGAGUCCGGAAGAGGUGAGUGGAACUCCGAGUGUAGAGGUGAAAUUCGUAGAUAUUCGGAAGAACACCAGUGGCGAAGGCGGCUCACUGGUCCGGUACUGACGCUGAGGAGCGAAAGCGUGGGGAGCAAACAGG
This 253-nucleotide ribosomal RNA is filed under the name uncultured bacterium. RNAcentral describes it as "partial 16S ribosomal RNA". It matches the Rfam family "Bacterial small subunit ribosomal RNA", at positions 524 to 776 of the family's 1533-position model. The record is from RNAcentral.